AGGGGAGCAAGGGUUGAAAAACUGUUGGGUACUGUGCUCACUACCUGGUUGACAGGAUCACUUGUACUCCAAACCUCAGCAUCAUGCAAUAUAUAUCUAGUUAAUAAACCUGCACAUGUACCAUCUAAAAGUAAAAAGAAGCAAAUUUAAAAAAAAAAAAACAAAAAAACAGACCCCUCCCCACCAGUCUCCUGGUUCUUUUUGAAGGUGGCUGUGGUCAGACUAUUCCAGCAGGUUCCUCAGUGCUUCAUGCUGUUCAUCAAACCUGGAUCCAUCUGGACCUACCAUUUAUGUCAUUUAUUGUUAUAAAAAAUAAUACAUAUUCUCUUGACACCUUAUAAUUAGAGUUCAUUUAAGUCCUUUUUAUCAACUCCAUUAGAGUACUUGUCUGGUGUCGAGAGUUUUGGUAGUUCCAGUAUAUGUGCUUGUUUUGUUUCUUCCACUGGAUCUCAAGAAGGAACAAAUUAUUUUGGUGUCUUAUAGAACAAAUUCAGAUUGUACUAGAUUAGAAGGAAUUUAUUUUGAUGUUAUUUUGGAGAAAAGACUUACUUGGGACUUGGGUGGAAGUGGAGUUCAUAUGGAUGGUUUUGUUUUGAAUAAUUUCUAAGGUCUUUUAGCUCUAUCAUUUCUUGUCAGUCUCCCACCGCUAAAAUAUAACUCUAUUUACUUCGUUUUUUCACACAGAAAGAUUAUAGUGACAUAGUCUUCCUCUUACUUAAAUACAUGUCUUUUUAGGAUUCUGCCAUAGUAUUGAUUCUGCCAUGGCAUUUAUUAUGCCCAGUGACCAAGGCAUUAGAAUAUUUGUGGUACCUUUACCUUUUUAGGCCAAUAAAUAUCAUUCAUUUGCUAAAGAACAUUUCAUUAAACGAGGUACAGUUGGCUCUCCAUAUCCAUGGGUUUGGCAUCUGGAUUCAACCAACCGUGAAUUGAAAAUAUUCAGGAAGAAAUUUCACAGAGUUCCAAAAAAACCUGGAAUUUGUGGCAUGCUGAGUACUACAUUGAAUCUACACAGAUGAAGUGAUGUGUAGGCAUUCUGUUAGGUAUUAUAAGUAAUCUAGGGAUGAUUUAAAGUAUACAGGACAAUGCGAGUGGGUUAUAUGCAAAUACUACAUUAUUUUAUAUAAGAGACUUGAGCAUGUUGGGUUUUGUUAUCUUUUGGGGGAUCCUAGAACUAAUCCCCCAUGGAUACUGUGGGAUGACUGUACUUAUUUUUUAGAAAUAAUUUCUACACUAUAGCCCCUUUUUUACUCCCAGUUUCUUUCAUUUUUUUUUUUUUAGGCUUCCUAAAAUAUUGGCAGAAGCUCCAUCCUUUCUCUGUGCUUUGUUCCAAUGUUUUUAGCAUGUUUCAGCUUGUUCUACAUCCCUGGGAUAUAUAAUAAGACCUAGCCUAAAUGUAAGCUUGAUAGUUCAGGGACUAUCUUAAGUGUUAUGUUAACUUUUUUUCUUUUAAGGGAGGGAGAACAAAUUCUAAUACUAGUUAAUAGUGUCUUACCCACAGUGUGUUAUCUAAUGCCUUUCAAACUAGGGGAAAAAAAUCAGUGAACAUUAUGGUAGAUGCUAAAAUCUGCCAUUUUCUUGUAUAUUUCUGACAGUUUCAGUUACUUUGCAUUUGUAUUAUACAAUGACUAACAUCAGCCUUUUACCAUUCUUUCCUCUGGUAUUUUUCAGUAACAAAUAGUGAAUGUAUUUAGAGAUAAAAAUAAUUUUGUGACCAAA
This 1716-nucleotide long non-coding RNA is filed under the name Homo sapiens (human). Its description in RNAcentral is "non-protein coding lnc-SOWAHB-6:1". The record is from RNAcentral. Lineage: Eukaryota; Metazoa; Chordata; Mammalia; Primates; Hominidae.